GACGAACGCUGGCGGCGUGCUUAACACAUGCAAGUCGAACGGAAAGACCCUGCUUUUGUGGGGUGCUCGAGUGGCGAACGGGUGAGUAACACGUGAGUAACCUGCCCUUGACUUUGGGAUAACUUCAGGAAACUGGGGCUAAUACCGGAUAGGAGCUCCUGCUGCAUUGUGGGGGGUGGAAAGUUUAGGCGGGUGGGGCUGGACUCGCGGCUUAUCAGCUUGUUGGUGGGGUAGUGGCUUACCCAGGCUUUGACGGGUAGCCGGCCCGAGAGGGUGACCGGCCACAAUGGGACUGAGGUACGGACCAGACUCCUAUGGGAGGCAGCAGUGGGGAACAUUGCCCAACGGGCGGAAGUGUGAUGAAGCGACGUCGCGUGCGUGAUGACGGCCUUCGGGUUGUAAACAGCUUUCGCCUGUGACGAAGCGUGAGUGACGGUAAUGGGUAAAGAAGCACCGGCUAACUACGUG
This 468-nucleotide ribosomal RNA is filed under the name uncultured bacterium. RNAcentral's name for it is "partial 16S ribosomal RNA". It matches the Rfam family "Bacterial small subunit ribosomal RNA", at positions 28 to 507 of the family's 1533-position model. The record is from RNAcentral.